GUGUCAGCAGCCGCGGUAAUACGGAGGGUGCGAGCGUUAAUCGGAAUUACUGGGCGUAAAGGGUGCGUAGGUGGUUGUAUAAGUUAGUUGUGAAAUCCCUGGGCUUAACCUGGGAAUGGCAACUAAGACUGUAUGACUUGAGUAUGGGAGAGGGUAGUGGAAUUUCCGGUGUAGCGGUGAAAUGCGUAGAGAUCGGAAGGAACACCAGUGGCGAAGGCGGCUACCUGGCCUAAUACUGACACUGAGGCACGAAAGCGUGGGGAGCAAACAGGAUUAGAUACCCUGGUAGUCC
This 292-nucleotide ribosomal RNA is filed under the name uncultured bacterium. RNAcentral describes it as "partial 16S ribosomal RNA". It matches the Rfam family "Bacterial small subunit ribosomal RNA", at positions 505 to 796 of the family's 1533-position model. The record is from RNAcentral.